This 252-nucleotide ribosomal RNA is filed under the name uncultured microorganism. Its description in RNAcentral is "partial 16S ribosomal RNA". It matches the Rfam family "Bacterial small subunit ribosomal RNA", at positions 524 to 776 of the family's 1533-position model. The record is from RNAcentral.
UACGGAGGGGGCAAGCGUUGUCCGGAUUUAUUGGGCGUAAAGCGAGCGCAGGUGGUUUAAUAAGUCUGAUGUAAAAGGCAGUGGCUCAACCAUUGUGUGCAUUGGAAACUGUUAGACUUGAGUGCAGUAGAGGAGAGUGGAAUUCCAUGUGUAGCGGUGAAAUGCGUAGAUAUAUGGAGGAACACCGGUGGCGAAAGCGGCUCUCUGGACUGUAACUGACACUGAGGCUCGAAAGCGUGGGUAGCAAACAGG